CCUACGGGGGUCAGCAGUGAGGAAUAUUGGUCAAUGGGCGUAAGCCUGAACCAGCCAUCCCGCGUGAAGGAAGAAGGCGCUAUGCGUUGUAAACUUCUUUUCCAGGGAAAGAAAACCCCCGACGUGUCGGGGCUUGCCGGUACCCUGGGAAUAAGCAUCGGCUAACUCCGUGCCAGCAGCCGCGGUAAUACGGAGGAUGCAAGCGUUAUCCGGUUUUAUGGGGUUGUAGGGGUGCGAAUACGUAUGAGUAGAAAACCUUCAGCUUAACUGGAGAACUGCCAUUGAUACUGUUAGUCUUGAGUACGGUCAAGGUAGGCGGAAUGUGUAAUGUAGCGGUGAAAUGCUUAGAUAUUACACAGAACACCGAUUGCGAAGGCAGCUUACUGGGCCAUUACUGACGCUGAUGCACGAAAGCGUGGGGAGCGAACAGGAUUAGAUACCCCAGUAGUC
RNAcentral lists this ribosomal RNA (450 nucleotides) under uncultured bacterium. RNAcentral's name for it is "partial 16S ribosomal RNA". It matches the Rfam family "Bacterial small subunit ribosomal RNA", at positions 338 to 795 of the family's 1533-position model. The record is from RNAcentral.